GUCGGCGGUGUUCCGGCGUGUUGUGUGGUCUUUUUGUUUCUCCGAUCUUGUCGCGUGCAGGUGCAACUACUGGUGGGAGUACAACACUUGACUGUAAAAGGCAUUCACAACGGAACUCGGAGAAAGAGUUGUUAUACUAAUGGCACUGUGCAGAAAGGUAAUGGCACUGAAGAUUAUAUAAUUGGACAUUUUUGGGUUUGUUUUCGCUUUCUACAUGCAUAUCGUUCAGAACAAUAAAGUAUCACAUUAUUAUUUUAAA
This is a long non-coding RNA of Ornithodoros turicata, 259 nucleotides long. RefSeq lists it as uncharacterized. The record is from RefSeq and is a predicted model, not a curated record. Lineage: Eukaryota; Metazoa; Arthropoda; Arachnida; Ixodida; Argasidae. The transcript is spliced from 2 exons.